Molecule: ribosomal RNA, 1474 nt
Filed under: uncultured bacterium
Lineage: Bacteria
Description: partial 16S ribosomal RNA
Rfam family: Bacterial small subunit ribosomal RNA
Source: RNAcentral
AGAGUUUGAUCCUGGCUCAGGACGAACGCUGGCGGCGUGCCUAACACAUGCAAGUCGAACGGACCAUUUCGGUGGUCAGUGGCGAACGGGUGAGUAACACGUAAGUAAUCUGCCUUGAAGACGGAGAUAACCUUGGGAAACUGAGGCUAAUACCCGAUAUGCUCACAGAAGGACAUCCUUCAGUGAGGAAAUGGUUUUUCGCUUUGAGAGGAGCUUGCGUCUGAUUAGCUUGUUGGUAGGGUAAAGGCCUACCAAGGCGAUGAUCAGUAGCUGAUUUGAGAGAAUGACCAGCCACACUGGGACUGAGAUACGGCCCAGACUCCUACGGGAGGCAGCAGUGGGGAGUUUUGCGCAAUGGGCGAAAGCCUGACGCAGCAACGCCGCGUGAACGAAGAAGUCUUUCGGGAUGUAAAGUUCUGUCGAGGGGGAAGAUAAUGACGGUACCCCUAAAGGAAGCUCCGGCUAAUUAUGUGCCAGCAGCCGCGGUAAUACAUAAGGAGCAAGCGUUGUCCGGAUUUAUUGGGCGUAAAGAGCACGUAGGCGGUGGUUUAAGUCAGAUGUUAAAUGCUUCGACUCAAUCGAAGUUCGCAUUUGAAACUGAACUGCUUGAGUAUAAGAAAGGGAAGCGGAACUCACAGUGUAGCGGUGAAAUGCGUAGAUAUUGUGAGGAACACCAGUUGCGAAGGCGACUUCCUAGCUUAUUUCUGACGCUGAGGUGCGAAAGCGUAGGGAGCGAACAGGAUUAGAUACCCUGGUAGUCCACGCUGUAAACGAUGUGCACUGGGUGUUGGUGCUUGAAGAAAGCAUAAGUGCCGUAGUUAACGCGAUAAGUGCACCGCCUGGGGAGUAUGCUCGCAAGGGUGAAACUCAAAGGAAUUGACGGGGGCCCGCACAAGCGGUGGAGCAUGUGGUUUAAUUCGAUGAUACGCGAGGAACCUUACCAGGGCUUGACAUGUACUUGACGGUCUGUGAGAGCAGGCUUUCUCUGAUGAGACGGGUACACAGGUGCUGCAUGGUUGUCGUCAGCUCGUGUCGUGAGAUGUUGGGUUAAGUCCCGCAACGAGCGCAACCCUUACUGUCUGUUGCCAGCAUAUAAAGAUGGGCACUCGGACGGAACUGCCGGUGACAAACCGGAGGAAGGUGGGGAUGACGUCAAAUCAUCAUGGCCCUUAUGUCCUGGGCUACACACGUGCUACAAUGGCAGGUACAGAGCGUUAGCGAAGCGGCGACGUGGAGCCAAUCGCAAAAAGCCUGCCUUAAGUUCGGAUUGGAGUCUGAAACUCGACUCCAUGAAGGUGGAAUCGCUAGUAAUCGCGCAUCAGCAUGGCGCGGUGAAUACGUUCCCGGGCCUUGUACACACCGCCCGUCACACCACCCGAGUUGGGGAUACCCGAAGUCGCUAGUCUAACCUGUUAAGGGGGGACGGUGCCGAAGAUAUGCCUGGUAAGGGGGGUGAAGUCGUAACAAGGUAACC